RNAcentral lists this ribosomal RNA (253 nucleotides) under uncultured bacterium. Its description in RNAcentral is "partial 16S ribosomal RNA". It matches the Rfam family "Bacterial small subunit ribosomal RNA", at positions 524 to 776 of the family's 1533-position model. The record is from RNAcentral.
UACGUAGGCAGCAAGCGUUGUUCAGAGUUACUGGGCGUAAAGAGUGCGUAGGUGGUGCCCUAAGUCUGUUGUGAAAUCUCCCGGCUUAACUGGGAGGGUGCGGUGGAAACUGGGGUGCUUGAGUGUGGGAGAGGGAAGUGGAAUUCCCGGUGUAGUGGUGAAAUGCGUAGAUAUCGGGAGGAAUACCGAUGGCGAAGGCAGGUCUCUGGACUGACACUGACGCUCAUGCACGAAAGCGUGGGGAGCAAACAGG